UACGUAGGGUGCAAGCGUUAUCCGGAAUUAUUGGGCGUAAAGCGUUCGCAGGCGGUUCUGUAAGUUUGUGGUUAAAUCUGACUGCUCAACGGUCAACAUGCCAUAAAUACUGCUGAACUAGAGGAUGACAGAGGCAACUGGAAUUCUGCGUGUAGGGGUAAAAUCCGUUGAUACGCAGAGGAACACCAAAAGCGAAGGCAGGUUGCUGGGUCAUUUCUGACGCUGUUGAACGAAAGCGUGGGGAGCAAACAGG
Molecule: ribosomal RNA, 253 nt
Filed under: uncultured bacterium
Lineage: Bacteria
Description: partial 16S ribosomal RNA
Rfam family: Bacterial small subunit ribosomal RNA
Source: RNAcentral